This 460-nucleotide ribosomal RNA is filed under the name uncultured bacterium. RNAcentral's name for it is "partial 16S ribosomal RNA". It matches the Rfam family "Bacterial small subunit ribosomal RNA", at positions 338 to 795 of the family's 1533-position model. The record is from RNAcentral.
CCUACGUGAGACAGCAGUGAGGAAUAUUGGUCAAUGGCCGGAAGGCUGAACCAGCCAUGCCGCGUGAAGGUCAAUGCCCUAUGGGCGUUACACUUCUUUUGUGCGGGAGCAAUUAUGGUCACGUGUGGCCAGACGAGAGUACCGUACGAAUAAGCCUCGGCUAACUCCGUGCCAGCAGCCGCGGUACUACAGGAAAUGCAAGCGUUAUCCGGAUUUAUUGGGUUUAAAGGGUGCGUAGGCUGUGAGUUAAGUCAGAGGUGAAAUGCCCCCGCUCAACGGGGGGAAGUGCCAUUGAUACUGCCUUGCUGGAAUGCGGAUGCCGUGGGAGGAAUGUGUGGUGUAGCGGUGAAAUGCAUAGAUAUCACACAGAACACCGAUUGCGAAGGCAUCUCACGAAUCCGCGAUUGACGCUGAUGCACGAAAGCGUGGGUAUCAAACAGGAUUAGAUACCCGAGUAGUC